This 68-nucleotide transfer RNA is filed under the name Incisitermes schwarzi. Its description in RNAcentral is "tRNA-Leu". Lineage: Eukaryota; Metazoa; Arthropoda; Insecta; Blattodea; Kalotermitidae. The record is from RNAcentral.
ACUAUUUUGGCAGAUAAGUGCGGUGGAUUUAGAAUCUAUUUAUGUGUUUUUAUUUAAUACAUUUAGUA